Molecule: long non-coding RNA, 2329 nt
Filed under: Cavia porcellus (domestic guinea pig)
Lineage: Eukaryota; Metazoa; Chordata; Mammalia; Rodentia; Caviidae
Description: lncRNA (ENSCPOG00000037350.1)
Source: RNAcentral
CGCCACCGGCCCCCCAGCGCACCCCCCAAGCGGAGACUGGGCUUCCUGUCGUUUUGCCAUGCACUUGUUGCAGAAACAGCCAAGGCCCCGGCUCCGGAGGAUGCGGACGGAGGAAGGCCCUGGAGCAGCCCAGCCCUGAAUGCAUCACUCUCGCCUCCUGCAACAGGUGUGUGCAGCCUCUUCUCACCGUGGUGGUGUCUGCACUGUACCUCAGCCCGGGUGAGGAUGUAAAGCCCCCCGCUCUGCACACGCGUGGUCCCGGCCGGCAGGAACCCCCAGCCCCAGCCACCCUCACAGCCAUGUCAGCCGUGGAGUAGCGCGGACACCUCCUCUCAGCUUCUCAGGGUUUCAGUCUUUUCGGGUUUUCUUCAUUUACCUUUUUUUAUGGUUUUGUGGCUGGACGUUGACAACCAAGUCACAGGCACCAUGGGGGAUCAGCAGUUGUACAAGAGCAACCAUGUGGCCCACGGUGGUGAGAACCUCUUCUACCAACAGCCACCCCUUGGUGUUCACGGCGGGCUGAACCACAGCUAUGGGAGUUCAGCCGCAGGCGGCGGAAUGGACGCCCCUCAAGCUUCGCCCAUCUCCCCCCACUUCCCCCAAGAUACUCGGGAUGGUCUGAACUUGCCUAUUGGCUCCAAAAACCUUGGUCAGAUAGAUACCUCGAGACAGGGAGGCUGGGGAGACCACACAGGGCCUGGCAACCAUGUCCAGCUCCGCGGCAACCUGACCAAUUCCAACAUGAUGUGGGGGCCUCCCGCCCAAGUGGAGCCCGCUGAUGGCUAUCAGUACACCUACUCCCAGGCCAGCGAGAUCCGAACCCAGAAGCUCACCAGCGGCGUCUUACAUAAGCUGGACUCCUUCACCCAGGUGUUUGCCAACCAAAACCUGCGAAUCCAGGUCAACAACAUGGCCCAGGUGCUGCACACCCAGUCGGCAGUGAUGGAUGGAGCCCCUGACAGUGCCCUCCGCCAGUUGCUGUCUCAGAAGCCCAUGGAGACCCCGGCAGCAGCUUUGCCAUCCCGGUACCAGCAGGUGCCGCAGCAGCCUCCCCCUGGUUUCACAGGUGGGCUGUCCAAGCCGGCCCUGCAGGUGGGGCAGCACCCUGCCCAAGGGCACCUGUAUUAUGACUACCAGCAGCCCCUGGCCCAGCUGCCGAUGCAGGGAGGACAGCCGCUGCAGGGCCCCCCGGUGCUGUCCCAGCCCGUGCCACAGACGCAGCAUCAGUAUUAUCCCCAGCACCACGCGGGACAGCAGCGUCUCUCCAUGCAGGAAAUGCAGGUGCAGCCUCCACAGCAGCAGCAGCCGCGCGCGCCUCAGCCCCAGCAGCAGCCUCGGCAAGGUCCGAUGCAGAUACCUCAGUAUUAUCAGCCCCAGCCCAUGCAGCACUUGCAAGAGCAGCAACAGACGUCGAUGCACCUGCAGCCCCCUUACUACCACAGGGACCCCCACCAGUACACCCCGGAGCAGGCACAUGCCGUGCAGCUGAUUCAGCUGGGCUCCAUGGCCCCCUACUACUACCAGGAGCCCCAGCAGGCCUACAGCCACCCGCUGUACCAGCAGAGCCACCUGCCCCAGCACCAGCUGCGGGAGGAUAGUCAGCUGAAGACUUAUUCCAGUGACAGGCAGGCCCCGGCCCUGCUGGGUUCCCAGGGGGACCCGACGCCUUCUGAUACGGGAAUGGGAGACCCGGCCAGCUCAGACCUGACCCGGGUCAGCAGCGCUCUCCCCCACCGGCCAAUCCUGUCCCCCACAAGUGGGAUUCACCUCAACAACACAGGCCCUCAGCAUCCGCAGCCGUCUCCCAGUGCCAUGUGGCCUCAGAUGCACCUACCUGAUGGGAGAGCCCAGCCAGCCUCCCCCGAGUCAAGUGGCCAACCCAAAGGAGUAUUUGGGGAGCCGUUCGAUGCCAAGGGCAAGCUGACGUGCCCCAUCUGCCUGAAGGAAUUCAAGAGCCUGCCCGCACUGAAUGGCCACAUGCGGUCCCACGGCGGGAUGAGGGCCUCCCCCAGCCUCAAACAGGAGGAAGGAGAGAAGGCCCUGCCGCCUCAGCCCCAGCAGCCACUGCCGCCUCCGCCUCCGCCGCCACCGCCACCGCAGCUCCCUCCCGAGGCAGAAAGCCUCACGCCUAUGGUCAUGCCCGUGUCUGUCCCUGUCAAGCUUCUCCCGCCCAAGCCCAGCUCUCAGGGGUUCACCAACAGCGUUGCUGCCGCCCCCUCCGCCAGAGACAAGCCAGCCAGCUCCGUGUCGGACGACGAGAUGCCCGUGCUCGACCAGCCCCCGGAGGCCCGCCCCCGCGGCCGAGGAGCCCCGCGCCGGCGAGAGGAGG